Non-coding RNA from Jatropha curcas, 2738 nucleotides. NCBI's taxonomy places the organism in Eukaryota, Viridiplantae, Streptophyta, Magnoliopsida, Malpighiales, Euphorbiaceae. The record is from RefSeq and is a predicted model, not a curated record.
AAACGCAAGUCAAGCAAAAGCACUGAAACGUCAUUGCGCUUUCUCUCUCUCUCCGUCUCCGUCUCUCUCUUCCAGUCCAGUCGUCGCUGAGUGUUGGAAAAAAUGGCCUUCCUUGUUUGACCCGACGAACAAAUGAACCAAGGGCGUCUUCCCCUUUCAUUUAUCUCUCUAAAAAGAAAGGCGAUUCUUCCCCCCUGCCGUGGCUGUAACUCGUUUCAACUGCUCUUUGAUCUUUGGGUUUGGAUUUCUUGAAAUCUCAGGUUUCUGGUGUUAUGAAGCUGGUUUGUUGUGAAUAUAGAUAUUUUCAAGCUCUAAUGCGCAAUAGAUAGCAAUUUAAGGGUUAUUUUAGCAAAUUUUGUUGGUUUUAUAGAGAAAAUGAUGUUGAGUAGACAGUUUGUUAAGAUUUUAAUGAGCAAUUGCCUCUGGUUAUUGCUUAGCUGUAGUUUGAGCUAUGGUACUGAGACUGAUAUUGCUUGCUUGAAGAGUAUAAAACAUUCACUUGAAGACCCUUUUGGUUACUUGAACUCUUCGUGGAACUUUAACAACAAUACUGAAGGCUAUAUUUGUAGAUUUAUCGGGGUUGAUUGUUGGCAUCCUGAUGAAAACAAGGUCUUGAAUAUCCGCCUUUCGGAUAUGGGGCUCAAGGGUCGGUUCCCUCCUGGCCUCAAGAACUGCACAAGUAUAACUGGUGUAGAUCUUUCAAACAACGACCUGUUUGGACCUAUUCCAGAUGAUAUCUCUACAAUCAUUGGGUUUGUGACAUCACUUGAUCUCUCGUCCAACAAUUUCUCAGGAACAAUUCCAGUGGGCCUUGCCAACUGUAGCUUUUUGAAUGUUCUUAGACUUGACCACAACCGGUUCACGGGUCAAAUUCCUCCACAACUUGCCUUGCUCAAUCGGUUGAAAACAUUUAAUGUAGCUAAUAAUCUCUUGACAGGGCCAGUGCCAAAUUUCAACAGUAGUAGCAAUAUUGGAGCAGAUGCUUAUGCAAAUAAUCUGGGAUUGUGUGGGAAGCCUUUAGAUAAUUGUCCUGGAACUUCAAAGAGUCCUCGGACUGGGGUUAUUGCUGGGGCGGCAAUUGCUGGGGUGACUGGUGCUGCAAUAGUUGUGGGUAUUGUUAUGUUGUUUUACUACCGAAAGAUGUCUAAGAUUAAGAAGAAGAAGGAUGAUGAUCCUGAUGGAAAUAAAUGGGCAAAGAGUUUAAAGGGAAUAAAGGGCAUAAAGGUUUCUAUGUUUGAGAAAUCAGUUUCUAAAAUGAAAUUGAGUGAUCUCAUGAAGGCGACUAACAGCUUCAACAAGGAAAAUAUCAUUGGGUCUGGAAGAACAGGGACUAUGUAUAAAGCAGUACUUGACGAUGGCUCUUUGCUGAUGGUUAAAAGACUGCAGGAUUCUCAGCGUUCAGAGAAAGAAUUUGUCUCAGAAAUGUCUACUCUGGGGAGUGUGAAGCAUCCUAAUUUGGUUCCACUCUUAGGUUUCUGCAUGGCUAAUAAGGAAAGACUUUUGGUUUAUAAGUAUAUGCCAAAUGGUACCCUGCAUGAUAAUUUACAUACUGUAGAUGAAAGUAAGAAGCCUAUGGAGUGGCCUUUGAGGCUCAAAAUUGGGAUAAGGGCAGCUAAGGGAUUUGCAUGGCUCCACCAUAAUUGUAAUCCCCGUAUUCUCCACCGAAAUAUAAGCUCUAAAUGCAUCUUGUUGGAUGCUGAUUUUGAGCCUAAAAUAUCUGAUUUUGGUCUUGCUAGGCUAAUGAAUCCAGUUGAUACACAUUUGAGUACCUUUGUAAAUGGAGAAUUUGGGGAUUUGGGUUAUGUUGCUCCAGAAUAUACAAGAACUCUUAUGGCCACUACAAAGGGUGAUGUUUACAGCUUUGGGACAGUCCUUCUGGAGCUGGUGACUGGUGAGAAACCUACCCAUGUUGCUAAAGCUCCUGAAAGCUUUAAGGGUAGUCUGGUUGAAUGGAUCACACAGUUAUCAAGCAACUCUCAACUUCAAGAUGCCAUAGAUCAAUCUUUGGUUGGGAAAGGUGUUGAUAAUGAGAUUUUCCAGUUUCUUAAAGUUGCAUGUACCUGUGUGGUGCCCAAUCACAAGGAGAGGCCUACUAUGUUUGAAGUUUACCAGCUUCUAGGAGCUAUUGGAGAGAAAUACCAUUUUACCACUGAGGAUGAGAUUGUGAUGCCUAUAGACGAUACUGAGGCUGAUUAUAUGGAUGAACUUAUUGUUGCUCGGGAAGUGAUCGAGGGUAACUAAAAGGUGUGAGGAACCUUCCCAAAAGCAUUGCAAGCUGCUUUUUGGUUUGGAGAAUUCGUUGUGAAAUUAGAGAGUAUUGUUACUACAAUAAGCUGGAAGUAACGAAGUACAAUAUUCUGAGGUAGAAGCAUCACUAUCAGGCUGGAGUUUACAUGUUUUCUUUGAGAUGAACUAAUUACUUCGGGAUGCAAGGGGAAAGCAACCUGCAGGCUGCACUGACCUUGUUAUGUUAUAACCUGAGGCAUGGACAAGCUGACAUAACAUUUCUUGAAAAAAAAAAAAAAAAAAAAAAAAAAAAAGGAAGGAAAGAAAUAAAAAAAUGUUAGUAUUUAAUGUGUAUGUCAAGUGUGUAGCUUAGCUUGUCGUGUUGCUAUGUCAGGUUUUGUGUCUGAGUGCAGGACAUGAAUAUAUGUCAAUAACUGAAGUAUCGAUGUUUUACAAGUUUUAACUUUAACAUUCUACCUUACAAAUAUUAGGAGAUGUUUGGCUGUCGGAAA